UACGAAGGGGGCUAGCGUUGCUCGGAAUUACUGGGCGUAAAGGGCGCGUAGGCGGAUCGUUAAGUCAGAGGUGAAAUCCCAGGGCUCAACCCUGGAACUGCCUUUGAUACUGGCGAUCUUGAGUAUGAGAGAGGUAUGUGGAACUCCGAGUGUAGAGGUGAAAUUCGUAGAUAAUUCGGAAGAACACCAGUGGCGAAGGCGACAUACUGGCUCAUUACUGACGCUGAGGCGCGAAAGCGUGGGGGAGCAAACAGG
This 255-nucleotide ribosomal RNA is filed under the name uncultured bacterium. RNAcentral's name for it is "partial 16S ribosomal RNA". It matches the Rfam family "Bacterial small subunit ribosomal RNA", at positions 524 to 776 of the family's 1533-position model. The record is from RNAcentral.